GGACCCGCACAAGCAGUGGAGCAUGUGGUUUAAUUCGACGCAACGCGAAGAACCUUACCAGCGUUUGACAUGGGAAGUACCGGUUACAGAAUGGUAACCUCAGUUCGGCUGGCUUCCGCACAGGUGCUGCAUGGCUGUCGUCAGCUCGUGUCGUGAGAUGUUGGUUAAGUCCCGCAACGAGCGCAACCCUUAUCGUUAGUUACUAACAGUUCGGCUGAGGACUCUAGCGAAACUGCCGGUGAUAAGCCGGAGGAAGGUGGGGAUGACGUCAAGUCCUCAUGGCCCUUACACGGCUGGGCUACACACGUGCUACAAUGGUAACUACAAUGUGAUGCCAUCUGGUGACAGAGAG
RNAcentral lists this ribosomal RNA (352 nucleotides) under uncultured bacterium. RNAcentral describes it as "bacterial SSU rRNA". It matches the Rfam family "Bacterial small subunit ribosomal RNA", at positions 917 to 1267 of the family's 1533-position model. The record is from RNAcentral.